This 497-nucleotide ribosomal RNA is filed under the name uncultured bacterium. RNAcentral describes it as "partial 16S ribosomal RNA". It matches the Rfam family "Bacterial small subunit ribosomal RNA", at positions 28 to 507 of the family's 1533-position model. The record is from RNAcentral.
GAUGAACGCUGGCGGCGUGCCUAACACAUGCAAGUCGAGCGGACAGACGAGGAGCUUGCUCCGCUGACGUUAGCGGCGCGCGGGUGAGAAACACGUGGAUAACCUACCUAUAUGACGGGGAUAACUUCGUGAAACCGGAGCAAAUACCGGAUAAGAUACUGAACCGCAUGGGUGAAUGGUGAAAGACGGCUUUGCUGUCACUUAUCGCUGCUUCCGCGCCGCAUUAGCUAGUUGGUAAGGUAACGGCUUACCAAGGCGACGAUGCGUGGCCGACCUGAGAGGGUGAUCGGCCACACUGGAACUGAGACACGGUCCAGACUCCUACGGGAGGCAGCAGUAGGGAAUCUUCCGCAAUGGGCGGAAGCCUGACGGAGCAACGCCGCGUGAGUGAUGAAGGUCUUCGGAUCGUAAAACUCUGUUAUUAGGGAAGAACAAAUGUGUAAGUAAACAUGCACGUCUUGACGGUACCUAAUCAGAAAGCCCCGGCUAACUACGUG